CCCUUAGAUGUCCGGGGCCGCACGCGCGCUACACUGAAGGAAUCAGCGUGGCUUUCUCCCUGACCCGAAAGGGUUGGGAAACCCGUUGAAUCUCCUUCGUGAUAGGGAUUGGGGCUUGAAAUUGUUCCCCAUGAACGAGGAAUUCCCAGUAAGCGCGAGUCAUAAGCUCGCGCUGAUUACGUCCCUGCCCUUUGUACACACCGCCCGUCGCUACUACCGAUUGAACGGUUUAGUGAGGGCCUCGGAUUGGUCUCGGCCCGCUCUUUACCGGGCGGCGCCGUUGGUCGAGAAGACGCUCGAACUUGAUCGUUUAGAGGAAGUAAAAGUCGUAACA
RNAcentral lists this ribosomal RNA (334 nucleotides) under uncultured eukaryote. RNAcentral describes it as "partial 18S ribosomal RNA". It matches the Rfam family "Eukaryotic small subunit ribosomal RNA", at positions 1470 to 1796 of the family's 1831-position model. The record is from RNAcentral.